This 253-nucleotide ribosomal RNA is filed under the name uncultured bacterium. RNAcentral describes it as "partial 16S ribosomal RNA". It matches the Rfam family "Bacterial small subunit ribosomal RNA", at positions 524 to 776 of the family's 1533-position model. The record is from RNAcentral.
UACGGAGGAGGCAAGCGUUAUCCGGAAUUAUUGGGCGUAAAGCGUCCGCAGGUGGCACUUCAAGUCUGUCGUCAAAGACUGGGGCUUAACCCUGGAAAGGCGGUGGAAACUGAAGCGCUAGAGUGCGGUAGGGGUAGAGGGAAUUCCCGGUGUAGCGGUGAAAUGCGUAGAUAUCCGGAGGAACACCAGUGGCGAAGGCGACUUUCUGGCCUGUUCUUGACGCUGAGGCGCGAAAGCUAGGGGAGCAAACGGG